RNAcentral lists this ribosomal RNA (552 nucleotides) under uncultured Glomeromycotina. Its description in RNAcentral is "SSU rRNA". It matches the Rfam family "Eukaryotic small subunit ribosomal RNA", at positions 548 to 1098 of the family's 1831-position model. The record is from RNAcentral. Lineage: Eukaryota; Fungi; Glomeromycota.
UUGGAGGGCAAGUCUGGUGCCAGCAGCCGCGGUAAUUCCAGCUCCAAUAGCGUAUAUUAAAGUUGUUGCAGUUAAAAAGCUCGUAGUUGAAUUUCGGGGUUCAUCCGUUGGUCGGGCUUUUUUGGUCUGUACUGGCGUGAUGGAUUCCUACCCUCUGAAUAACCAGCAUGUCAUUAAUUUGGUGCGCUGGGGAAGCAGGACUGUUACCUUGAAAAAAUUAGAGUGCUUAAAGCAGGCUAUCGCCUGAAUACAUUAGCAUGGAAUAAUGAAAUAGGACGGCAUGGUUCUAUUUUGUUGGUUUCUAGGAUCACCGUAAUGAUUAAUAGGGAUAGUUGGGGGCAUUAGUAUUCAAUUGUCAGAGGUGAAAUUCUUGGAUUUAUUGAAGACUAACUUCUGCGAAAGCAUUUGCCAAGGAUGUUUUCAUUAAUCAAGAACGAAAGUUAGGGGAUCGAAGACGAUCAGAUACCGUCGUAGUCUUAACCAUAAACUAUGCCGACUAGGGAUCGGACGAUGUUAAUUUUUUAAUGACUCGUUCGGCGCCUUACGGGAAAC